This 2248-nucleotide long non-coding RNA is filed under the name Homo sapiens (human). Its description in RNAcentral is "non-protein coding lnc-LPP-6:4". Lineage: Eukaryota; Metazoa; Chordata; Mammalia; Primates; Hominidae. The record is from RNAcentral.
CAGGCCCAAGGGAAUAUUCAAUCAAGGAGAAAAAGGCCAAGUCAUUACUGGAACCCUAUGUUCCGUUUGUCAAAUGUGUGCGACCCUUCUGAUAAGUCACCAGAGGUGAUGAGGGAGAGAGAGAAAGAAAGCAAAUUACAACUGUAAAGAGUCUCUGAACAGUGAAAGAUCAAAACAGACAGUCUCUGGCUUUACUGGAUGAGUCACCAUUGCAGCCCGACCGCAAAAACAAGCGUGGCUUCUGUACUUAGCAGCAGUCUUCCUGUCUGGAAAGGAAACAUUGCUCAGAUUGGAGAUACUGGCCAUUUUAUAGACUUCAAAGCAACUUAGGCCACUGAACUGUCAGGCGGGAAAACAGCAGUGCUCAGGCUCAGUGGAGAAACUCAUUAGCUCUAUUUAAUUAGAGAAAGCAAACACUUCCAAACCUACUUUAAUGUCAGCCUACUUCCCACCACCUCAUUAAUAUAUUUUUAAAAACUUUCACCUUUAAUGUGGCAAUGAUUUUCUUAAUUCUUUCAGUAUUAGAACUCCAUAGAUUUAAGGCAUUUAGCUAGAGAACAAGUAGAAAGAUUAUACAAGUGAUAGUCAUGAUUCUUUGAACCAGUAUCUUUUGGUAUUACUAAAUAAGAGAUUUUUAAACUCGAUUUUCAUGUAUAACCUAGAUGAAGGUUGUUGUUCUGGUUUAAUCCUAUAAUAUUGCAAUUUUUAGGAUCAUCUUUUUUUUAUAUAGGAUUUUACAUUUUCCAAAAGGUUUUACAUCCAUCAGAUGAUUCCCACAAAACACUGAAACAAAGUAGGAGCCGCUGGUAAUAUCUCCAUUCUCCAGAUGAGGAAGUCUGGGCUGAGAGCAGUCAAAGGAUUUCUCCGAAUGACAUCUAUAUGCUUCAAGGUUGACAAUGAGGACACAAGUUUCAGGCCCAAGUGGCUUGAGAUACUAGGAUGUCUUCCAUUUGGAAGCCCCUUUGCUUCUAAGAAGUUCCAGAGACCAUCCCAGGCCCACAGAGUUAUAAGGAUUCAUCUGGGCACUGAAGACAUUUGGGACCUCAGUGAAGUUUCUCCGAGGCCAGAUGGUCACAUUGAUUUUCUGGAAUCAUUUUGAAUAAAAAUGAGCGAGGUGGUGAACACAAUGCAAGGCUCUCCACGUACUGUCUGGUAUUGUUCAACCAGCUCCACGACUCCCUGAGGGCAGAGAUGAGCAGAUGUUAAUGGAUAAAGCCAGGUGGGAUGAUGUUAUAACAUUUCUCCUACAGCCCCAAAUCUCCCAACUCCUGCAUGUGUGACCUGAGUAAGACUCGGUGCAAGAAGACAUCAGUGUUCCCAUCUGUGAAAUGAAGGAAUUGACCCCCGAGGAUCUUCCAUUUCUGACAGUGCUUUGGAUUUCAUUGGUUUUGUCACAGGUACCCCCCAAAAGCCUCCAUCUUUGGAUAAGUGAUUAAAACUGCUGAGUAAUUUUCAAUUAAUAAAAGUUCAGUGCUGGCUCUCAGAGGCUGUUUAAUUACCAUAGUCCCUUGAGGAGUUUUCCUUCAAGUCACACCAUCGUUGCUGAUUAUCCUAUAUUUUGGCAACUCUUGGGCCAUGGGCACUUCCUAGUCCAAUCAGCUUUGGCCAGAGGCAGAUUCUACUAUACAGACAUGGUCAUCUCCAAAUUAGAGGGAACCCCCAGCUCCAAGUGAAGGGUACAUGUGGACGGUUUCCUUUAUAAAGGGAUGUGUGAUGGUGGGACAGGCAUGUCUGCUGCAGUAGGAAUGUUUCAUUUGGUAGAGAGGAAACAUAAGAAAAAGUAGGAUUGGUACCCACCAUUAUUAUUAAAAAGUAGGAUUGCUACCAGCCAUUAUUAUUAAAAAGUAGGAUUGCUACCCGCCAUUACUAUUAAAAAGUAGGAUUCCUACCCGCCAUUAUUAUUAAAAAGUAGGAUUGGUACCCGCCAUUAUUAUUAAAAAGUAGGAUUGCUACCCAACAUUAUUAUUAAAAAGUAGGAUUGCUACCCUCCAUUAUUAUUAAAAAGUAGGAUUGCUACCCUCCAUUAUUAUUAAAAAGUAGGAUUGCUACCUGCCAUUAUUAUUAAAAAGUAGGAUUGCUACCUGCCAUUAUUAUUAAAAAGUAGGAUUGCUACCUGCCAUUAUUAUUAAAAAGUAGGAUUGCUACCCGCCAUUAUUAUUAAAAAGUAGGAUUGCUACCCGCCAUUAUUAUUAAAAAGUAGGACUGCUACCCGCCGUUAUUUGCACAGCUACCUUAUGAAAGUAGUUUC